Molecule: long non-coding RNA, 421 nt
Filed under: Vigna radiata
Lineage: Eukaryota; Viridiplantae; Streptophyta; Magnoliopsida; Fabales; Fabaceae
Description: long non-coding RNA (VRAD_LNC014066)
Source: RNAcentral
GCAAGUGUUUCACUCAAUCACUCAAGUGUUUAGGGUGGCACUCCAACUCUCUAUCAUUCACAAGUCACAAGAAAUAAAAUUGUCAUUCAUCUCACACAAUCAACAUCUUUACAUGCAAAUGCCAUCAAAAGGACUUUUCCAAGGCUUGUAAUGAGGUUGGGCUAACAAGAAGAAUUGGUUUUUCUGGAAUGCAAAAUCCUUGAGUCAAGAGAGCUAUCAUAGUAUUCAACAUUUAAGCACAACUCUCUUCCUCACCAAUCUCACUCAUUCCCAACUUUUUUCCCUUUUCUUUUUCAUUGAGCUCAUCUUCAUGUUUUUUCUUAUUUUUUUUUUCUUUUUCACAUGCAUUUUUAUUUUUCAACAAUUGAGCUCAAUGCUUCUUAAAAGCUUUCCAAUUUCCCCCAUGCAACCCCAAACUUGA